RNAcentral lists this ribosomal RNA (301 nucleotides) under uncultured bacterium. RNAcentral's name for it is "partial 16S ribosomal RNA". It matches the Rfam family "Bacterial small subunit ribosomal RNA", at positions 509 to 807 of the family's 1533-position model. The record is from RNAcentral.
CAGUAGCCGCGGGAAUACGUAGGUGGCAAGCGUUGUCCGGAAUUAUUGGGCGUAAAGGACUCGCAGGCGAUUUCUUAAGUCUGAUGUGAAAGCCCCCGGCUCAACCGGGGAGGGUCAUUGGAAACUGGGAAACUUGAGUGCAGAAGAGGAGAGUGGAAUUCCACGUGUAGCGGUGAAAUGCGUAGAGAUGUGGAGGAACACCAGUGGCGUAGGCGACUCUCUGGUCUGUAACUGACGCUGAGGAGCGAAAGCGUGGGGAGCGAACAGGAUUAGAGACCCCCGUAGUCCCUGUCUCUUAUAC